Molecule: ribosomal RNA, 2893 nt
Filed under: Acinetobacter baumannii
Lineage: Bacteria; Pseudomonadati; Pseudomonadota; Gammaproteobacteria; Moraxellales; Moraxellaceae
Description: 23S ribosomal RNA
Rfam family: Bacterial large subunit ribosomal RNA
Source: RNAcentral
AGUCAAGUAAUUAAGUGCAUGUGGUGGAUGCCUUGGCAGUCAGAGGCGAUGAAAGACGUGAUAGCCUGCGAAAAGCUCCGGGGAGGCGGCAAAUAUCCUUUGAUCCGGAGAUGUCUGAAUGGGGGAACCCACCUACUUUAAGGUAGGUAUUGCAACAUGAAUACAUAGUGUUGCAAGGCGAACGAGGGGAAGUGAAACAUCUCAGUACCCUUAGGAAAAGAAAUCAAUUGAGAUUCCCUCAGUAGCGGCGAGCGAACGGGGAUCAGCCCAUUAAGUUAUGUGUGUUUUAGUGGAACGCUCUGGGAAGUGCGAACGUAGAGGGUGAUAUUCCCGUACACGAAAAGGCACACAUAAUGAUGACGAGUAGGGCGAGGCACGUGAAACCUUGUCUGAAUAUGGGGGGACCAUCCUCCAAGGCUAAAUACUCCUGACUGACCGAUAGUGAACCAGUACCGUGAGGGAAAGGCGAAAAGAACCCCUGUGAGGGGAGUGAAAUAGAUCCUGAAACCGCAUGCAUACAAGCAGUGGGAGCACCUUCGUGGUGUGACUGCGUACCUUUUGUAUAAUGGGUCAGCGACUUAUAUUCAGUAGCAAGGUUAACCGUAUAGGGGAGCCGUAGAGAAAUCGAGUCUUAAUAGGGCGUUUAGUUGCUGGGUAUAGACCCGAAACCAGGCGAUCUAUCCAUGAGCAGGUUGAAGGUUGGGUAACACUAACUGGAGGACCGAACCCACUGUCGUUGAAAAGCCAGGGGAUGACUUGUGGAUAGGGGUGAAAGGCUAAUCAAGCCUGGUGAUAGCUGGUUCUCCCCGAAAGCUAUUUAGGUAGCGCCUCGGACGAAUACCAUAGGGGGUAGAGCACUGUUUCGGCUAGGGGGUCAUCCCGACUUACCAAACCGAUGCAAACUCCGAAUACCUAUGAGUACUAUCCGGGAGACAGACUGCGGGUGCUAACGUCCGUAGUCAAGAGGAAAACAAUCCAGACCGCCAGCUAAGGCCCCAAAAUCAUAGUUAAGUGGGAAACGAUGUGGGAAGGCAUAGACAGCUAGGAGGUUGGCUUAGAAGCAGCCACCCUUUAAAGAAAGCGUAAUAGCUCACUAGUCGAGUCGGCCUGCGCGGAAGAUGUAACGGGGCUAAAACUAUGUGCCGAAGCUGCGGAUGUAUACUUUGUAUACGUGGUAGGGGAGCGUUCUGUAAGCCGAUGAAGGUGUGUUGAGAAGCAUGCUGGAGGUAUCAGAAGUGCGAAUGCUGACGUGAGUAACGACAAAACGGGUGAAAAACCCGUUCGCCGAAAGACCAAGGGUUCCAGUCCAACGUUAAUCGGGGCUGGGUGAGUCGACCCCUAAGGCGAGGCCGAAAGGCGUAGUCGAUGGGAAAAUGGUUAAUAUUCCAUUACUUCUGUGUAAUGCGAUGAGAGGACGGAGAAGGCUAAAUCAGCCUGGCGUUGGUUGUCCAGGUGAAAGGAUGUAGGCAUGUAUCUUAGGCAAAUCCGGGGUACUCUAUGCUGAGAUCUGAUAGCAAGCUGUACUUGUACAGCGAAGUGGUUGAUGCCAUGCUUCCAGGAAAAGUCUCUAAGCUUCAGUUACACAGGAAUCGUACCCGAAACCGACACAGGUGGUCAGGUCGAGUAGACCAAGGCGCUUGAGAGAACUCUGCUGAAGGAACUAGGCAAAAUGGUACCGUAACUUCGGGAGAAGGUACGCUGUUGUUGGUGAUGGAACUCGCUUCCUGAGCUGACGACAGCCGCAGAAACCAGGCCGCUGCAACUGUUUAUUAAAAACAUAGCACUCUGCAAACACGAAAGUGGACGUAUAGGGUGUGAUGCCUGCCCGGUGCUGGAAGGUUAAUUGAUGGGGUUAGCGUAAGCGAAGCUCUUGAUCGAAGCCCCAGUAAACGGCGGCCGUAACUAUAACGGUCCUAAGGUAGCGAAAUUCCUUGUCGGGUAAGUUCCGACCUGCACGAAUGGCAUAAUGAUGGCGGCGCUGUCUCCAGCAGAGGCUCAGUGAAAUCGAAAUCGCUGUGAAGAUGCAGUGUACCCGCGGCUAGACGGAAAGACCCCGUGAACCUUUACUGCAGCUUGACACUGAACUUUGACCUUACUUGUGUAGGAUAGGUGGGAGGCUUUGAAGCUGGAACGCUAGUUCCAGUGGAGCCGUCCUUGAAAUACCACCCUGGUAAUGUUGAGGUUCUAACUCUGUCCCGUGAUCCGGGACGAGGACCGUGUCUGGUGGGUAGUUUGACUGGGGCGGUCUCCUCCUAAAGAGUAACGGAGGAGUACGAAGGUGCGCUCAGCGUGGUCGGAAAUCACGCGUAGAGUAUAAAGGCAAAAGCGCGCUUAACUGCGAGACCCACAAGUCGAGCAGGUACGAAAGUAGGUCUUAGUGAUCCGGUGGUUCUGUAUGGAAGGGCCAUCGCUCAACGGAUAAAAGGUACUCUGGGGAUAACAGGCUGAUACCGCCCAAGAGUUCAUAUCGACGGCGGUGUUUGGCACCUCGAUGUCGGCUCAUCUCAUCCUGGGGCUGAAGCAGGUCCCAAGGGUAUGGCUGUUCGCCAUUUAAAGAGGUACGCGAGCUGGGUUUAGAACGUCGUGAGACAGUUCGGUCCCUAUCUACCGUGGGCGCUGGAAAUUUGAGAGGAUCUGCUCCUAGUACGAGAGGACCAGAGUGGACGAACCUCUGGUGUACCGGUUGUGACGCCAGUCGCAUCGCCGGGUAGCUAUGUUCGGAAGGGAUAACCGCUGAAAGCAUCUAAGCGGGAAGCCUACCUCAAGAUAAGAUUUCCCUAGGACUUUAUGUCCUCUAAAGAGCCGUUCGAGACUAGGACGUUGAUAGGUUGGAUGUGGAAGCAUAGUGAUAUGUGAAGCUGACCAAUACUAAUUGCUCGUGAGGCUUGACUAU